GGUAAAUCUCGUGCCAGCCACCGCGGCCAUACGAUUAACCCAAGUUAAUAAGCACACGGCGUAAAGCGUGUUAAAGCACUGUACUAAAUAAAGUUAAAUUCCAAUUAAGCUGUAAAAAGCCAUAAUUGCAACAAAAAUAAACAACGAAGGUAACCUUAUAGCCGCUGAAACACGAUAGCUAGGACCCAAACUGGGAUUAGAUACCCCACUAUGCCUAGCCCUAAACACAAAUAGUUGUGUAAACAAAACUAUUCGCCAGAGUACUACCGGCAAUAGCUUAAAACUCAAAGGACUUGGCGGUGCUUUAUACCCUUCUAGAGGAGCCUGUUCUAUAAUCGAUAAACCCCGAUAAACCUCACCAUUCCUUGCUAAUACAGUCUAUAUACCGCCACCUUCAGCAAACCCUAAAAAGGUACAAAAGUAAGCACAAUCAUAAUACAUAAAAACGUUAGGUCAAGGUGUAACCUAUGGAAUGGGAAGAAAUGGGCUACAUUUUCUAACCUAAGAAAAUCUAAUACGAAAGUUAUUAUGAAACUAGUAACCAAAGGAGGAUUUAGCAGUAAACUAAGAAUAGAGUGCUUAGUUGAAUUAGGCCAUGAAGCACGCACACACCGCCCGUCACCCUCCUCAAGUAGGCACAAUACACUCAAAUUUAUUCAUACGUAUUAAUCACAUGAGAGGAGACAAGUCGUAACAAGGUAAGCAUACUGGA
Molecule: ribosomal RNA, 712 nt
Filed under: Dama dama (fallow deer)
Lineage: Eukaryota; Metazoa; Chordata; Mammalia; Artiodactyla; Cervidae
Description: partial 12S ribosomal RNA
Rfam family: Bacterial small subunit ribosomal RNA
Source: RNAcentral